This 1078-nucleotide long non-coding RNA is filed under the name Rhinopithecus bieti (black snub-nosed monkey). RNAcentral describes it as "lncRNA (ENSRBIG00000046481.1)". Lineage: Eukaryota; Metazoa; Chordata; Mammalia; Primates; Cercopithecidae. The record is from RNAcentral.
AAAAUGUAAAAUAAAAUUUCAUGUAAUUAAAAUUAAGAGACCUACUGCCUCAUUCUCCCAAGUAGCUAGGACUACACGCAUAUACUACCAUGCUUAGCUAAUUUUUUAUUUCUUGUAGAGAUGGAGUCUUGCUCCAUUGCCCAGGCUGAUCUCAAACUCCUGGCCUCAAAAGAUCCUCCCACCUUGGCUUCCCAAAGCGCUGGGAUUAUCGAUGUGAGCGGUUGUGCCUGCCCCAUAGGUAUUCUUUAUCCUGCAGAGUUCCCAGCAUAACAUCAAGUAUGGACAGCUCCAGGAAGCAACAACAAUUAAAAAAAAAGGGGAAUCUGCUGGCAUCACCCCCAUCCAAACCAGGCUCAGGAAAUUUUCCAGGGCCAGGCAGCCUUUGUGGAAGCUAUGUAAGGACUGGAGAAACGCGUGUUCUUGUGCAAACAAACCCCAAAACAAAACAAGAGAUACUGUCUUUGGACUGGACUUUGUCCAGCCUGGAGUCACAGUGCCCGUCAAGAGCCACUCCAGAAUACUUGUACCUGGAUCUUCACUAGGGCCGGCCAGAGCAGAAUGCAGUGUUCUCAGGACUACAAAGCUGGGUCACCCACACAUGGUUGGACUUGAUAAGUAUCGUAACCUAACGAAGGAUGCCAUACUCUCCAGUGCCUGGGGGAGCCCCAGUGGGAAUGGAUCCAGAUGGUGCUGGGCCUGGGCCAAAAGAGAAAUGGGGGAGGACGGGUCCUUUCUCUCCUUUGUCCCUAACCUCCCCACAUCCUACUGCUGUCUGACUCAGAACUCUCAUGAAAAACCCAACUUCUUACACUGAUAUUUCCCAGAGGCCUAAUUGUGCAACAAGAAAUAAAAACGCAAUUAGAGAACUGAGGUCCAGCAGGAAAUUCACAUUACAUAAAUAAGACCUGGAGUGUGUAGGGGAGCGCCCCAACUCCCAGCCUUGUUAGUAUUGAAGGCUGCGAGCACACAGCUCAGGGAUCCUCUGAUUUGGUGGAUAACCCCUGUGAACAAUAGUUCUCUGAAAAGGGAUUUAGAGGAAAGAGACUUUAUUCCUGUAAACAGUUUUCAAACUAGGGAA